This 222-nucleotide ribosomal RNA is filed under the name Staphylococcus chromogenes. RNAcentral describes it as "partial 16S ribosomal RNA". It matches the Rfam family "Bacterial small subunit ribosomal RNA", at positions 1 to 218 of the family's 1533-position model. Lineage: Bacteria; Bacillati; Bacillota; Bacilli; Caryophanales; Staphylococcaceae. The record is from RNAcentral.
UUUAUGGAGAGUUUGAUCCUGGCUCAGGAUGAACGCUGGCGGCGUGCCUAAUACAUGCAAGUCGAGCGAACUGACGAGGAGCUUGCUUCUUUGACGUUAGCGGCGGACGGGUGAGUAACACGUGGGUAACCUACCUAUAAGACUGGAAUAACUCCGGGAAACCGGGGCUAAUGCCGGAUAACAUAUCGAACCGCAUGGUUCGAUAGUGAAAGACGGUCUUGC